This 442-nucleotide ribosomal RNA is filed under the name uncultured bacterium. Its description in RNAcentral is "partial 16S ribosomal RNA". It matches the Rfam family "Bacterial small subunit ribosomal RNA", at positions 338 to 795 of the family's 1533-position model. The record is from RNAcentral.
CCUACGGGGAGCAGCAGGGGGGAAUAUUGGACAAUGGGGGGAACCCUGAUCCAGCGAAGCCGCGUGAGUGAAGAAGUAUCUCGGUAUGUAAAGCUCUAUCAGCAGGGAAGAAAGAAAUGACGGUACCUGACUAAGAAGCCCCGGCUACCUACGUGCCAGCAGCCGCGGUAAUACGUAGGGGGCAAGCGUUAUCGGAUUUUAUUGGGUGAAAAGGAGCGUAGACGGCUGAGCAAGUCUGAAGUUAAAGGCGGGGGCCCAAACCCCGGACUGAUUUGGAAACCGUAUAGCUAGAGUGCAGGAGAGGUAAGUGGAAUGCCUAGUGUAGCGGUGAAAUGCGUAGAUAUUAGGAGGAACACCAGUGGCGAAGGCGGCUUACUGGACUGUAACUGACGUUGAGGCUCGAAAGCGUGGGGAGCAAACAGGAUUAGAUACCCCUGUAGUC